CCUACGGGCUGCAGCAGUGGGGAUUAUUGGACAACGGGCGAAAGCCUGAUCCAGCAAUGCCGCGUGUGUGAAGAAGGUCUUCGGAUUGUAAAGCACUUUCGACGGGGACGAUGAUGACGGUAGCCGUAGAAGAAGCCCCGGCUAACUUCGUGCUAGCAGCCGAGGUAAUACUAAGGGGGCUAGCGUUGCUCGGAAUGACUGGGCGUAAAGGGCGCGUAGGCGGUUUAUGCAGUCAGAUGUGAAAUCCCCGGGCUUAACCUGGGAACUGCAUUUGAGACGCAUAGACUAGAGGUCGAGAGAGGGUUGUGGAAUUCCCAGUGUAGAGGUGAAAUUCGUAGAUAUUGGGAAGAACACCGGUGGCGAAGGCGGCAACCUGGCUCGAUACUGACGCUGAGGCGCGAAAGCGUGGGGAGCAAACAGGAUUAGAUACCCUGGUAGUC
Molecule: ribosomal RNA, 440 nt
Filed under: uncultured bacterium
Lineage: Bacteria
Description: bacterial SSU rRNA
Rfam family: Bacterial small subunit ribosomal RNA
Source: RNAcentral